Molecule: ribosomal RNA, 529 nt
Filed under: uncultured fungus
Lineage: Eukaryota; Fungi
Description: partial 18S ribosomal RNA
Rfam family: 5.8S ribosomal RNA (bases 188-341)
Source: RNAcentral
UCCGUAGGUGAACCUGCGGAAGGAUCAUUACAGAAAUAGGAGAAGGUUGCUUAACUGCAAUCCUUUUCUUUCUACACAUGUGUUUUUCUUUUUUUUGAAAACUUUGCUUUGGUGGGCCCACGGCCUGCCAGGGAUUAAACUCAACCAAAUUUUUAUUUAAUUGUCAACUUGAUUAACUAAUAGUCAAAACUUUCAACAACGGAUCUCUUGGUUCUCGCACCGAUGAAGAACGCAGCGAAAUGCGAUAAGUAAUAUGAAUUGCAGAUAUUCGUGAAUCAUCGAAUCUUUGAACGCACAUUGCGCCCUUUGGUAUUCCAAAGGGCAUGCCCGUUUGAGUGUCAUUUCUCCCUCAAACCUUCGGGCUUGGUGUUGAGCGAUACGCUGGGUUUGCUUGAAAGAGAGGCGGAGUAUAAACUAAUGGAUAGGUUUUUUUUCCUCUCGUUGGUACAAACUCCAAACAUUCUUCCAAAUUCGACCUCAAAUCAGGUAGGACUACCCGCUGAACUUAAGCAUAUCAAUAAGCGGAGGA